Mytilus californianus (California mussel) is the source of this 2619-nucleotide RNA transcript. RefSeq lists it as uncharacterized. NCBI's taxonomy places the organism in Eukaryota, Metazoa, Mollusca, Bivalvia, Mytilida, Mytilidae. The record is from RefSeq and is a predicted model, not a curated record. The transcript is spliced from 4 exons.
AUACUCAAGAUAGAUAUAAUGUGAACUCUUGUACAGGUAUGUAUACUCAAGAUAGAUAUAAUGUGAACUCUUGUACAGGUAUGAAUACUCAAGAUAGAUAUAAUGUGAACUCUUGUACAGGUAUGAAUACUCAAGAUAGAUAUAAUGUGAACUCUUGUACAGGUAUGAAUACUCAAGAUAGAUAUAAUGUGAACUCUUGUACAGGUAUGUAUACUCAAGAUAGAUAUAAUGUGAACUCUUGUACAGGUAUGUAUACUCAAGAUAGAUAUAAUGUGAACUCUUGUACAGGUAUGUAUACUCAAGAUAGAUAUAAUGUGAACUCUUGUACAGGUAUGUAUACUCAAGAUAGAUAUAAUGUGAACUCUUGUACAGGUAUGUAUACUAAAGAUAGACAUAAUGUGAACUCUUGUAUAGGUAUGUAUACUAAAUUAGUUAGAAUAUAGCAAAGUGCUCUCGACCAAUGAAAUUGUAGGAUUUGAUGUCUCUUAAUUGUGAAGAAUGAAUGUAAAUCAUGUUCUUAGUAAGGGAUUAUCCUAUUAUUUGGGUCUAUUUACAGUUCAAAACAAAGAGUUUCUAUAAAUGGUUUACAACUGCCCCGAAGCAAAUUUAUCAGAUUGAAAGGAUUUAUCACACAGUGAUUGAAACUGACUUAAAGUUAAAUUGUGAGACAAAAAAAUCAAAAUAAGUUGAAGUCUACUGGUGCUGUAAUACUGGUACCUUUAAUGUUAUUAUGAAAAAAUUAAUAACUUCAAAUUACUAAAAAAUUAAACAAUAUCAAAGCAAUGCAAAAAAAGAAAGAAAGAGAAAAAAAGUUUUAAAAUCAAAAACCACCUAAAUCUUUAGCUUUCCAAAACUCUGAUUACUGGACUAGUGGUUGAGAAGAAUAGUUAUUUCCAAUAUUCCAAUAAAAUGAAAAAAAAUAGGAAUUUAUUUUAAGUUUUGGGUAUAUUUAAAACUUUUAAAGACAUUUUAUUUGAACAUUCCCCUGACAUAAUGAAAUAGUAUUUGAUUUAAAAAGCCGGACCAAAAUAUUGGCUAUGGAAUAAAAUUAGUUGUAACUCAAGUGUAUUUAUUGAUUUAAACUGUAAAUAAAAAAAGGAUAAUUCCUCACUAAAAUAUUACAUGAAUUACUUUCAUACUCACAAUCAGGAAACAUAUACAAUUCCUACCUUUUCUUUGUACUGUUGUGUCACCUAAUGUCUAUAAUACAUUUUUUUUUUUAAUAUUUCCCAAAUUAUAAGAAUGUCCUUACAUCACUAAAACUAAUCCAUAAAUGAAAUGCCGAAAAAGGAAGUCAUGCAUCAAUUAUAAACAUUGCACUGACAAUGACACUAAUUCUUGAAUACAAACAAUCAAGAGAUCAUUUGAGCCUUGAGCACUUUACAAUAUUCUAAGUUUGUAAGAGAAUGAUAAUCCCUUACUUCAUGAUAAGUACUCACUAACGCUCGUACUUAAUCAUGAAGAAAGGGAUUAUCAUUCUCUUACAUAUACAUAUAAUGUGGACUCUUGUACAGGUAUGUAUACAUAAGAUAGAUAUAAUGUGAACUCUUGUACAGGUAUGUAUACUAAAGAUAGACAUAAUGUGAACUCUUGUACAGGUAUGUAUACUAAAGAUAGAUAUAAUGUGAACUCUUGUACAGGUAUGUAUACUAAAGAUAGAUAUAAUGUGAACUCUUGUACAGGUAUGUAUACUAAAGAUAUAUAUAAUGUGAACUCUUGUACAGGUAUGUAUACUAAAGAUAUAUAUAAUGUGAACUCUUGUACAGGUAUUUAUGUAGAAUUUUAUAAUGUCCACCAUGUAAUAAUGUCCGCUGGGCUGGACAUUUUUUCAUAGUUAAUACUGUCCAUGGACAAUUUUUAUACAACUGCAAAAAUUAAAAAUUUUUUGGUCGUAUAUUGGUAUCACGUUGUCGUCGUCGUCAGCGUCGUCCUAAGACAGAUGGUUUCUGGAUAAUAACUUUAAUAUAAGUAUAUGGAAAUCAAUAAAAUUUUAACACAAGGUCUAUAACCACUAAUGGAAGGUUGGGAUUGAUUUUGGGGGUUAUGGUCCCAACUGUUUAGGAAUUAGGGGCCAAAAAAGGGGCCCAAAUAAUCAUUUUUGUAGUUUCCAAACAAUAACUUGUGUUAAAGUGUAUGAAUCUCUCUGAAAUUAUACCACAAGUUUCCAUACUACAAAGGGAUGGUUAGGAUUGACUUUGGGGGGUUAUGGCUCAAACCAUUUAGGAAUUAGGGGCAAAAAAAGGGGAAAAACGGGUUUUUCUGGUUAAAGGACAAUUGAGACAAUUUAAAAGCAGUGUAAGGGAGGUAAUCCAAAUCAAAAUCCAAAUCAAUUUAAAUAAUAAUGUUUGAUUACCUCCCUUACACUGCUUGUAAAUUAUGUAUUAAGAAAUGAUGAUUGUCUGAGAUACUGACCAUAACUUGAGGGAAAGAAAUAUUUUUGGAAUAAGGGAAAGGGGGGAGGUGAAAAAAAUUGGAGGGGGACAUUUUUUCUCAUUUCUGAUUUCAGAAAUUAAAAGAAAAUUGCUUCAAAUAUUUUUUUUUGGGGGGUUAAUAUUCAACAGCAUAGUGUCUUGCACAAACGCAAAAAAACGGGGUAAAUUUUUUUUUUUUUUUUUUGGG